AUCUACGGCCAUGCCACCCUGAACAAGCCCAAUCCCAUCUGAUCUCGGAAGCUAGGUGAGGUCUGGUUAGUACUUGGAUGAGAGACCACCUAGGAAAACCAGGUGCUAUAGGCA
This 114-nucleotide ribosomal RNA is filed under the name Pteropus alecto (black flying fox). Lineage: Eukaryota; Metazoa; Chordata; Mammalia; Chiroptera; Pteropodidae. The record is from RNAcentral.